Molecule: ribosomal RNA, 441 nt
Filed under: uncultured bacterium
Lineage: Bacteria
Description: partial 16S ribosomal RNA
Rfam family: Bacterial small subunit ribosomal RNA
Source: RNAcentral
CCUACGGGUGGCUGCAGUGGGGAAUAUUGCACAAUGGGGGAGACCCUGAUGCAGCGACGCCGCGUGAGUGAAGAAGUCUUUCUGUGUGGAAAGCUCUAUCAGCAGGGAAGAAGCAAGACGGUACCUGACUAAGAAGCCCCGGCUAACUACGUGCCAUCAGCCGCGGUAAUACGGAGGGGGCAGGCGUUAUCCGGAUUUACUGGGUGUAAAGGGAGCGUAGACGGUAUGGUAAGUAUGAAGUGAAAGCCCAGGGCUUAACCCUGGGACUGCUUUUGAAACUGUUAGACUAGAGUGCUGGAGAGGUAAGUGGAAUUCCUAGUGUAGCGGUGAAAUGCGUAGAUAUUACGAGGAACACCAGUGGCGAAGGCGGCUUACCGGACAGCAACUGACGCUGAGGCUCGAAAGCGUGGGUAGCAAACAGGAUUAGAUACCCGAGUAGUC